AGCUCUUCCUCGCGAUGGUGAACGGCGAAGGUUGUGGUCACCGAGAUUUUUCAUGGUGGUGGCGAAUCGUCGCUGCUAAUCCAUUCCAUUGUAGAAAUUUGUGAGAGGGAAAAUAUGGAGAAGAAUGAAAUAGGGAUUUGGGGGUAUCGUUCUUGAAGAAGAGGGAAUAUGUGUUUAGAGAUUUUAUUUUGGCUAUUUUUAUUUCUUAGUUUUUUUU
RNAcentral lists this long non-coding RNA (217 nucleotides) under Salvia miltiorrhiza (redroot sage). RNAcentral describes it as "long non-coding RNA (SMIL_LNC004439)". Lineage: Eukaryota; Viridiplantae; Streptophyta; Magnoliopsida; Lamiales; Lamiaceae. The record is from RNAcentral.